RNAcentral lists this small RNA (314 nucleotides) under Pelobates cultripes (western spadefoot toad). The record is from RNAcentral. Lineage: Eukaryota; Metazoa; Chordata; Amphibia; Anura; Pelobatidae.
GUGAGGGGGUGACUAGUGACAGAGUGAGGGGGUGACUAGUGACAGAGUUAGGGAGGGGUGACUAGUGACAGAGUGAGGGAUGGGGUGACUAGUGACAGUCACCACCUCCCUCACUCUGUCACUGUGUUACUCCCUCCCUCUGUCACAAGUCACCCCCUCCCUCAUUCUGUCACUAUUCACCCCCUCCCUUACUAGUCACCUCCCUCCCUCUGUCACUAGUUACCCCUCCCUCUGUCACUAGUCACUCACUCCCUCCCUUACUCUGUCAUUAAUCACCCCUCCCUCACUCUGUCACUAGUAACCCCCUCCUUCAC